Molecule: ribosomal RNA, 419 nt
Filed under: uncultured Treponema clone RFS19p
Lineage: Bacteria; Pseudomonadati; Spirochaetota; Spirochaetia; Treponematales; Treponemataceae
Description: bacterial SSU rRNA
Rfam family: Bacterial small subunit ribosomal RNA
Source: RNAcentral
GAGCGGCAAGGAGGAGCAAUCUUCCUUAGAGCGGCGGACUGGUGAGUAACGCGUGGGUGACUUACCUUGAGGCCGGGGAUAGCCGUUAGAAAUAGCGGGUAAUACCGGAUACGCUCAUCACUGUUAGAGGGUGAUGAGGAAAGGGGCUACGGCCCCGCCUUAAGAGUGGCCCGCGGCCCAUUAUGCUUGUUGGUGUGGUAACGGCGCACGAAGGCUCUGAUGGGUAUCCGGCCUAAGAGGGUGAACGGACACAUUGGGACUGAGAUACGGCCCAGACUCCUACGGGAGGCAGCAGCUAAGAAUAUUCCGCAAUGGGCGAAAGCCUGACGGAGCGACGCCGCGUGGGUGAGGAAGGCCGAAAGGUUGUAAAGCCCUUUUGAACCUGACGAAUAAGCGCGGGAGGGAAUGCCCGCGUGGUG